AGUUUGAUCCUGGCUCAGGAUGAACGCUAGCUACAGGCUUAACACAUGCAAGUCGAGGGGCCUGGGAAAAAACUUUUCUUUUUCGCGCGCACGCGCACAGGGUGUAAUAUAGGUUCCAACCCGCCUUUACUCGGGGAACCCUUUGAAAGGAAAAUUAUACCCCGGAGGAUUAAUGUUCCGCAUGGUUUCAAUAUAAAAGGUUCCGGUAAAGGAUGGGGAGCGUUCCCAUUGGGUUGCGGUUGAGUAACGGCUCACCAAGCCUCGAAGGAUAGGGUUUUGAGAGGAAGGUCCCCCACAUUGGAACUGAGACACGGUCCAAACUCCUACGGGAGGCAGCAGUGAGGAAUAUUGGUCAAUGGGCGCUAGCCUGAACCAGCCAAGUAGCGUGAAGGAUGAAGGCUCUAUGGGUCGUAAACUUCUUUUAUAUAAGAAUAAAGUGCAGUAUGUAUACUGUUUUGUAUGUAUUAUAUGAAUAAGGAUCGGCUAACUCCGUGCCAGCAGCCGCGGUAAUACGGAGGAUCCGAGCGUUAUCCGGAUUUAUUGGGUUUAAAGGGAGCGUAGGUGGACUGGUAAGUCAGUUGUGAAAGUUUGCGGCUCAACCGUAAAAUUGCAGUUGAUACUGUCAGUCUUGAGUACAGUAGAGGUGGGCGGAAUUCGUGGUGUAGCGGUGAAAUGCUUAGAUAUCACGAAGAACUCCGAUUGCGAAGGCAGCUCACUGGACUGCAACUGACACUGAUGCUCGAAAGUGUGGGUAUCAAACAGGAUUAGAUACCCUGGUAGUCCACACAGUAAACGAUGAAUACUCGCUGUUUGCGAUAUACAGUAAGCGGCCAAGCGAAAGCAUUAAGUAUUCCACCUGGGGAGUACGCCGGCAACGGUGAAACUCAAAGGAAUUGACGGGGGCCCGCACAAGCGGAGGAACAUGUGGUUUAAUUCGAUGAUACGCGAGGAACCUUACCCGGGCUUAAAUUGCAGUGGAAUGAUGUGGAAACAUGUCAGUGAGCAAUCACCGCUGUGAAGGUGCUGCAUGGUUGUCGUCAGCUCGUGCCGUGAGGUGUCGGCUUAAGUGCCAUAACGAGCGCAACCCUUAUCUUCAGUUACUAACAGGUCAUGCUGAGGACUCUGGAGAGACUGCCGUCGUAAGAUGUGAGGAAGGUGGGGAUGACGUCAAAUCAGCACGGCCCUUACGUCCGGGGCUACACACGUGUUACAAUGGGGGGUACAGAAGGCAGCUAGCGGGUGACCGUAUGCUAAUCCCAAAAUCCUCUCUCAGUUCGGAUCGAAGUCUGCAACCCGACUUCGUGAAGCUGGAUUCGCUAGUAAUCGCGCAUCAGCCACGGCGCGGUGAAUACGUUCCCGGGCCUUGCACACACCGCCCGUC
RNAcentral lists this ribosomal RNA (1381 nucleotides) under uncultured bacterium. RNAcentral describes it as "bacterial SSU rRNA". It matches the Rfam family "Bacterial small subunit ribosomal RNA". The record is from RNAcentral.